CCCUUUUCCUCUCCUGAAAAUCAAAUGUUUCGUGCCUUAGCAGAUGUGUGUUAGCACUAAGUUGUUCAAUUAACGCGGUUAAGAGGAAAUGUAUAUGUGUAUUUCGACAAAAAUUGGUAAAUUAACACCAGAGAUUCCUUCGUUUGAUUGAAGAGUUUUCUUGCUUCAAGCUGAAUAAUUCACACCGUUCUACAUGAAAAAAAAAA
Molecule: long non-coding RNA, 206 nt
Filed under: Mytilus galloprovincialis (Mediterranean mussel)
Lineage: Eukaryota; Metazoa; Mollusca; Bivalvia; Mytilida; Mytilidae
Source: RNAcentral